RNAcentral lists this non-coding RNA (104 nucleotides) under Clonorchis sinensis. RNAcentral's name for it is "Eukaryotic small subunit ribosomal RNA". It matches the Rfam family "Eukaryotic small subunit ribosomal RNA", at positions 1502 to 1604 of the family's 1831-position model. The record is from Rfam by way of RNAcentral. Lineage: Eukaryota; Metazoa; Platyhelminthes; Trematoda; Opisthorchiida; Opisthorchiidae.
AAUGACGGUUUCAACGAGUUUGGGAUCCCAGACCGAAAGGGUUGGGUAAACUGAACCAUAACCGUCGUGACUGGGAUCGGGGCUUGCAAUUGUUCCCCGUGAAC